AGUCACGGCGUCCAGUCCAAGUCCAUCUUGAAGGGGGCCCCGCUUAUCCGCAGAGGGUGCCAGGCCCGUGGUGACGGACGCCGGCCGCGACGGUCUUCCUCCCCAGAGUCGGGUUGCUUGAGAGUGCAGCCCUAAGUUGGUGGUAAACUCCAUCUAAGGCUAAAUACGACCAUCGAGACCGAUAGCGAACAAGUACCGCGAGGGAAAGUUGAAAAGAACUUUGAAGAGAGAGUUCAAGAGUACGUGAAACCGUUCAGGGGUAAACCUGUGAAACUCGAACGAUCGAACGGGGAGAUUCAUUCAGCGUCGCUUUCCGAUUUAGGGGUCCGCGGCGGGUCGUCGUUCCAGUCUGCCGCGGCGAGGGGCGUUUCGGCGUCUCUCGUUCAACGCGGCAGGCGCGGCCCGUUCGCGUCUCCGGCCCCCGGAGCGCGUGCACUUCUCCCUCAGUACAACACCGCGACCCGUCGGCGUAGCGGCGGUCUCAACGCGUCCGGGAGAAAGUCCGGACGGUCGGCUUCGCGGCCGGCCGUCCGAGUCUCCUCAGACGUCGCGGCCGCCGCCCGACGGUAGAGAACGAGGAUCGGAUCCCGCGCCUCGCGCGCGUCGUGAUCGUGCCGCGGCGCUCCGCGUCCCGGACCUCGGGACCUCGUUGUCUCGCAUGCUCCGGGCGUUCUCCUCCCGACGGGAGGAUAAGGAGCGUCGUCUUUCGGCGCGGUCGUCUCGGACAGGAUCUUCCGUCCCGGUCGGCGGUGGUUUUGUUUCGGGCACUCACAGGACCCGUCUUGAAACACGGACCAAGGAGUCUAGCAUGUGCGCGAGUCAUAGGGAGUACACUAAACCCUGAGGCGUAAUGAAAGUGAACAGCGCCGUGUUCUCGGUCCUUCGGGGCCGGGUUUCGGCCGCAGGGACGAUGGCGGACGGCC
RNAcentral lists this ribosomal RNA (923 nucleotides) under Chimarrhodella peruviana. RNAcentral describes it as "LSU rRNA". It matches the Rfam family "Eukaryotic large subunit ribosomal RNA", at positions 162 to 770 of the family's 3401-position model. The record is from RNAcentral. Lineage: Eukaryota; Metazoa; Arthropoda; Insecta; Trichoptera; Philopotamidae.